RNAcentral lists this ribosomal RNA (191 nucleotides) under Virgibacillus carmonensis. RNAcentral describes it as "partial 16S ribosomal RNA". It matches the Rfam family "Bacterial small subunit ribosomal RNA", at positions 1332 to 1522 of the family's 1533-position model. Lineage: Bacteria; Bacillati; Bacillota; Bacilli; Caryophanales; Bacillaceae. The record is from RNAcentral.
UCGCUGUAAUCGCGGAUCAGCAUGCCGCGGUGAAUACGUUCCCGGGCCUUGUACACACCGCCCGUCACACCACGAGAGUUGGCAACACCCGAAGUCGGUGAGGUAACCUUUAUGGAGCCAGCCGCCGAAGGUGGGGCCAAUGAUUGGGGUGAAGUCGUAACAAGGUAGCCGUAUCGGAAGGUGCGGCUGGA